GGCUUCUGGGCUGGAACUGGGAGGAGCCGGCCCGGGGCGGGCUGUGCCGGGCCCCGCCCCCAUCCGCUGGGGCCGCGGGAGCACUCGGUCCGCAAAUCCCCUGCGCUCGGCUCACUCCUGUGAUGUCUGAAUCCAGGCCUCUGCUCUCCUUGGCUGUAAACUCAGUGCAGGGAUUGUGUCUUCUUUAAUAUCUUGUGGGAAGCAGAGUACAGUGUGGCGGCUGAUAAAUAAUAAAUAAUAAUAAUCUACUGAGGGUAGCAGGAGGACUGUCAGCGAAAGGGAAUGAGGACACCAGGGAGAUGGCACUUUGGUGUCAGAGUAACUGCAUUUCCUGCAAGAAGAAAAUGUGGAGUAAAGUUUUGGUGUGUGAAGCCUGAGGACAGGGGAGGGGACAAGGCAAGGCACUGCAGGGAGGAAUCCACCCGUGAUGAGGAGGAAGCCACCCUCUAAAUGAUCCACAUGAUUCACCACGUACGAGCAAAAGCAGGAAUCCCCUCCGCGGCUACGUUCCGGAGCAGUGGCAUGUAGGACAGCAAAGUGUAGUUUGGGUGCGCAGGGUCUGGGGUAGGUCGACUUCCGGCGAUCUGAGGCACUCCUAAUGUCUUACAGAUAGUUUUUUUUUUUCAACGUUUAUUUAUUUUGGGGACAGAGAGAGACAGAGCAUGAACGGGGGAGGGGCAGAGAGAGAGGGAGACACAGAAUCGGAAACAGGCUCCAGGCUCUGAGCCAUCAGCCCAGAGCCUGACGCGGGGCUGGAACUCACGGACCGCGAGAUCGUGACCUGGCUGAAGUCGGACGCUCAACCGACUGCGCCACCCAGGCGCCCCUACAGAUAGUUUUGAACGAUCCUCAAAUGAAAGAAGGAAAUACACACUCCAAGAGCUCUUCCAUAGCUACAUCUUUCUAGGUGAAGGUAUGAGGAUUCUCCCGGUUUGCCUCCUGACUUUAUCAAAGGAGAGAGUCCUUGCUGAAUCCCCAUCUACACAGAAGACAACUUUUGGUCUCUGUGAUGCCAAAGGUGUCAGUUCCAGAGUGUUGCAACGGC
RNAcentral lists this long non-coding RNA (1045 nucleotides) under Felis catus (domestic cat). Its description in RNAcentral is "lncRNA (ENSFCAG00000042363.2)". Lineage: Eukaryota; Metazoa; Chordata; Mammalia; Carnivora; Felidae. The record is from RNAcentral.